UAUGGCGAAUUGUAGUCUAUAGAGGGCGUGGUCAGUGUGAGCACUUGGGGGCAAGUUCCUUGGAAGAGGACAGCAUGGAGGGUGAUACUCCCGUUUAUCCCUAAGUAGCUUGUGCGUACGACCCGUUUUCUUUGAGUCGCGUUGUUUGAGAAUGCAGCGCAAAGUAGGUGGUAAAUUCCAUCUAAAGCUAAAUAUUGGUGCGAGACCGAUAGCGAACAAGUACCGUGAGGGAAAGAUGAAAAGAACUUUGAAAAGAGAGUUAAAGAGUACCUGAAACUGCUGAAAGGGAACCGAAUCGUUUCCAGUGUCUAUAAUCCGUGGUAUAUUUCAUUGGCGAGUGUGUGCGUGCGUGUGUUCUGGCAGCGGCUAUUAUGUGGCUGCGCUAGUCGCGUGUGUUGUGUGUGCUUGUUGGUGCCCUGUGCUGCGGUGGGACGUCAAAGUCAGUUCUUAUACUGUGUGAGAUGGCUGCUAUGUGAAGGUAGGGCUUACGCUUGCGUUUGUCUGUUAUAUCCUGGUCAGUUGCGUACUCGCGGUUGGGACUGAGGUGCCUACAAUGUGCUUUUGAGUGGGCUUGUAACUUUGUUUACGAAACAUGCAGAUUGCUUGCAAUGUGUGUGUGGCUGUGAAUAAAUUAUUUGGGGCAAGCUUUAACUCG
RNAcentral lists this ribosomal RNA (655 nucleotides) under Peronospora digitalis. RNAcentral describes it as "LSU rRNA". It matches the Rfam family "Eukaryotic large subunit ribosomal RNA", at positions 134 to 634 of the family's 3401-position model. The record is from RNAcentral. Lineage: Eukaryota; Oomycota; Peronosporomycetes; Peronosporales; Peronosporaceae.